Molecule: unclassified non-coding RNA, 328 nt
Filed under: soil metagenome
Description: partial contains 5.8S ribosomal RNA, internal transcribed spacer 2, and large subunit ribosomal RNA
Rfam family: 5.8S ribosomal RNA (bases 5-119)
Source: RNAcentral
GAUGAGAACGUAGCGAAAUGCGAUAAGUAAUGUGAAUUGCAGAAUUCAGUGAAUCAUCGAAUCUUUGAACGCACAUUGCGCCCCUUGGUAUUCCGGGGGGCAUGCCUGUUCGAGCGUCAUUACAACCCUCAAGCUCUGCUUGGUCUUGGGCGUCACCGGUCCCCGGUGUGCCUUAAAAUCAGUGGCGGCGCCAUCUGGCUCUAAGCGUAGUACAUACUCUCGCUACAGACGUCCGGUGGAUGCUGGCCAGCAACCCCCAAUUUAUCAAGGUUGACCUCGGAUCAGGUAGGGAUACCCGCUGAACUUAAGCAUAUCAAUAAGCGGAGGA